RNAcentral lists this ribosomal RNA (403 nucleotides) under Verrucomicrobiota bacterium. RNAcentral's name for it is "Verrucomicrobia bacterium partial 16S ribosomal RNA". It matches the Rfam family "Bacterial small subunit ribosomal RNA", at positions 355 to 776 of the family's 1533-position model. The record is from RNAcentral. Lineage: Bacteria; Pseudomonadati; Verrucomicrobiota.
UGGGGAAUAUUGCACAAUGGGCGCAAGCCUGAUGCAGCAACGCCGCGUGAACGAUGAAGGUCUUCGGAUCGUAAAGUUCUGUUGCAGGGGAAGAUAAUGACGGUACCCUGUGAGGAAGCCCCGGCUAACUACGUGCCAGCAGCCGCGGUAAUACGUAGGGGGCUAGCGUUAUCCGGAUUUACUGGGCGUAAAGGGUGCGUAGGUGGUCCUUCAAGUCGGUGGUUAAAGGCUACGGCUCAACCGUAGUAAGCCGCCGAAACUGGAGGACUUGAGUGCAGGAGAGGAAAGUGGAAUUACCAGUGUAGCGGUGAAAUGCGUAGAUAUUGGGAGGAACAACAGUAGCGAGGGCGGCUUUCUGGACUGCAACUGACACUGAGGCACGAAAGCGUGGGUAGCAAACAGG